RNAcentral lists this ribosomal RNA (897 nucleotides) under Klebsiella pneumoniae. Its description in RNAcentral is "bacterial SSU rRNA". It matches the Rfam family "Bacterial small subunit ribosomal RNA", at positions 646 to 1533 of the family's 1533-position model. The record is from RNAcentral. Lineage: Bacteria; Pseudomonadati; Pseudomonadota; Gammaproteobacteria; Enterobacterales; Enterobacteriaceae.
GUCUUGUAGAGGGGGGUAGAAUUCCAGGUGUAGCGGUGAAAUGCGUAGAGAUCUGGAGGAAUACCGGUGGCGAAGGCGGCCCCCUGGACAAAGACUGACGCUCAGGUGCGAAAGCGUGGGGAGCAAACAGGAUUAGAUACCCUGGUAGUCCACGCCGUAAACGAUGUCGAUUUGGAGGUUGUGCCCUUGAGGCGUGGCUUCCGGAGCUAACGCGUUAAAUCGACCGCCUGGGGAGUACGGCCGCAAGGUUAAAACUCAAAUGAAUUGACGGGGGCCCGCACAAGCGGUGGAGCAUGUGGUUUAAUUCGAUGCAACGCGAAGAACCUUACCUGGUCUUGACAUCCACAGAACUUUCCAGAGAUGGAUUGGUGCCUUCGGGAACUGUGAGACAGGUGCUGCAUGGCUGUCGUCAGCUCGUGUUGUGAAAUGUUGGGUUAAGUCCCGCAACGAGCGCAACCCUUAUCCUUUGUUGCCAGCGGUCCGGCCGGGAACUCAAAGGAGACUGCCAGUGAUAAACUGGAGGAAGGUGGGGAUGACGUCAAGUCAUCAUGGCCCUUACGACCAGGGCUACACACGUGCUACAAUGGCAUAUACAAAGAGAAGCGACCUCGCGAGAGCAAGCGGACCUCAUAAAGUAUGUCGUAGUCCGGAUUGGAGUCUGCAACUCGACUCCAUGAAGUCGGAAUCGCUAGUAAUCGUAGAUCAGAAUGCUACGGUGAAUACGUUCCCGGGCCUUGUACACACCGCCCGUCACACCAUGGGAGUGGGUUGCAAAAGAAGUAGGUAGCUUAACCUUCGGGAGGGCGCUUACCACUUUGUGAUUCAUGACUGGGGUGAAGUCGUAACAAGGUAACCGUAGGGGAACCUGCGGUUGGAUCACCUCCUUACCUUAAAGAA